UAGGGAAUCUUCCGCAAUGGGCGAAAGCCUGACGGAGCAACGCCGCGUGAGUGAUGAGGGUCUUCGGAUCGUAAAACUCGGUUAUUAGGGAAGAACAAAUGGGUAAGUAACUAUGCACGUCUUGACGGUACCUAAUCAGAAAGCCACGGCUAACUACGUGCCAGCAGCCGCGGUAAUACGUAGGUGGCAAGCGUUAUCCGGAAUUAUUGGGCGUAAAGCGCGCGUAGGCGGUUUUUUAAGUCUGAUGUGAAAGCCCACGGCUCAACCGUGGAGGGUCAUUGGAAACUGGAAAACUUGAGUGCAGAAGAGGAAAGUGGAAUUCCAUGUGUAGCGGUGAAAUGCGCAGAGAUAUGGAGGAACACCAGUGGCGAAGGCGACUUUCUGGUCUGUAACUGAUGCUGAUGUGCGAAAGCGUGGGGAUCAAACAGG
This 429-nucleotide ribosomal RNA is filed under the name Actinomycetes bacterium. RNAcentral describes it as "Actinobacteria bacterium partial 16S ribosomal RNA". It matches the Rfam family "Bacterial small subunit ribosomal RNA", at positions 355 to 776 of the family's 1533-position model. Lineage: Bacteria; Bacillati; Actinomycetota; Actinomycetes. The record is from RNAcentral.